UGGUAUCAAGUUCUGUGACUAGUUCUGCC
RNAcentral lists this non-coding RNA (29 nucleotides) under Homo sapiens (human). Lineage: Eukaryota; Metazoa; Chordata; Mammalia; Primates; Hominidae. The record is from RNAcentral.